GGAAGGGCGGCCUCUCACCUGGAGGAGCACGGCCAGCAGGACGCACAGAUACACCUGGAGAGGUGAGGCAUCAUGCAGCACUCCACUCAGCUGCGUGGCUGAGCACUGACAAACUCAAUUUGCUGGAGGACAGCAUGAGAUGACACGGUGCAGUUGCUGCUGCUGCGAUAUGGACAAAUGGCCGCUUUUGUUCCAAGCAAGACGUCACCUGUCCUGAGGAAGUGCAUCUGUGCAUAGGAAUGGUCUGACAGCCCCAGGCUGGAGUAUGUGUCUCUCCCAACUACUCUGUCACCCAGGAAGCAUAGAAGGGAAGCAAAUCAGAAAGCCAAGAAGAUGCUGGAGAUGGUGAACUACAGCUCUGAAUGACCGUACAACUCACAGAAGCCCGCAUAAAGCCAGUUACAGCUGGCCUAAGGUAUACAAGUAGAAAUAAAAUGGUCUUGAACACUCCACAUGCCGGUGAAAACCUUCCUGCUCAUUCCAGGAGAGGCUGAUACUGGCCAUGACUGGGGAAAAGACAUUGAACUGGGCAGAGUACCUGUGAGGUACCUCCUGUGAGACCCUGCAUGUAAGGAAAGAGCAUUCCCCAUGGCUACAUACACAGACAUCAGAUUUAAAAAUAGCCAAGUUCCACCUCGACUGUGGGUGAGUGAAAGACAGAAGACAGAUGCAUUGGCUGCCAGCUACACUUGACAUCUACUUUUUCUUUCCUCACCCUGGCAGCCAGCAGUUGCACACAUGUGCACAGGUAAGGUCCUCAGUGGCAGAGCACACGGUGUCUGCCUCCCCCUCAAUUCACUGACUGCUGCCUGCCAGCCGUGUGUGUCUGGGAGCCAUGUAAACCCACACUCCCCAUUUAGUGCAUCCGGCAUGUAUAAAAAUCACCAAGUUCCUCCUAUUUGUCCUACUUAAUUCACAAAUUCCUCCCUAGUCAUUUAUGUGUGGGGAUUGCUAUCGAGUUCAUUGUAAAGGUUAACACAUCUCUGUUUCUGGCUUGUUUUGUUAACUCCUUUAGUGCUUGAUCCACAUGGACACUUUCCAUGGCUCCAGCCUGUAUAGUGAUUGUGUGUGCUUGUGCAUGACUGGUCUCACUUUCAGACCCUGGCCCAGGUCAAUUAGAGGUGAUCAGUUUCAAGGAACAGGUCUUGGUCUUGCUUCCUUCCUCUUACCCAGACUGCAGGAGAUUCCUCCUCUUUUUCUUCACUGGCUUUAAUCCACCCACUGUUUAUGCUUCCAACCAAAUUCAUUCAAUGAAAACAUAAGGCACUACUGCCCACAUACUCAAUGCUACUCUUCAUGUGCUCAUCAGCAGUAGAAGCCACAGUAAUUCAGCAAAUUUGGCUAUCUUAUUUGCAAACAUGUUUACAAGCAUGCCUUUAUGCAUUUACCUAAAUCACAUGGAUCACAGAAAAGUCCUUUCCAUGGAAAAUUAUGGAUGCUGAAAAGUCACAUGCAUUCAAAUCACAACUUGACAAAUUCAGAAAAGGAAAAUUCAUCCAAUGCAUUGAACUUUAAUUAACUGGAUGUCAGGGCUCUAUUUGGGGGCAGUAUCACUGUAGAUUUAUGUUAUUCUUACAGGUUUCCCUCUUUUGGUAAUGCUGUAAACAAGAUACCUUUGUCUAACCCACUGCGGACAUUCUUAGGUUUUUACAUGUGUUUUACAUAAUUUUAGUGUCUUUUUAGUCUUCCUAAUAAAUCUGUUCCAGGAGCAUCCAGGCUGCAUUAGGGUCUUGCAGACACUAUAGAGCACAGUAAGUAUUUCUUGUUCUACAUUUGGAGCUUGGCAUGCUAAGCAUCACAUUUCUGGUCCAGGAAGAUGGAUAGGAAGAAUGGAAAAGAUCCCAUUAUCAGAACAGCCUUACAAAUAGAACAGACUUGGUCUCUUCUGCAUAAUGACAAGGCAUUGAAUCUUGUUCAGUUUAACAAAAAGAAGGCUGCAGAAUUGAUAUGGCCACUACUAAUGAAUACUGACCUAGGAAGGACCAACAGAUGUCUGGGUUCACUCAGGCAUGUCUUCUCUUUCUGUCUGAAAUGUUUGCCCAGGUGGAAUUUUCCCAUUUGUCCAAAAUUCCCAGACAUUUGACCUGAGCAUGUAGCUAUGCUCUGCAUGACCAGAAAGUCCAAGCUAAUAACUGAUGUAUGCAGACAUAUCAGCAGUACAGCACACAUGCAUAUGCCUGUUUUAAAAAUCCCACCUAAGCCUGAUAACAUAAUAAAAGAGAACUCUUAAUCCAGAGGCCAACAUAUAGGAAAAUCCCACAGCUGGAUGCUGAAGGUGUGCAUACUCAUUUUUCACAUCAAUGUUUUCAAAAGUGGGGAGAAACAGCUGGUGGAGUAAUUUUCCAGGCAUCAUUGGGAAUCCUCCACCACCAUCAAUGUUUAAACCACAAAUGGGUAUUAUUGCUGAAAAAUGCUCCUAAAGGAAAUUAAGAGGGAAGUCCUGUAGCCUUCCACCUGUGGAGAGAUGCUCACAGUGGUCCCUUCUGCCUUUAAAAACUCCUCAUCAUCCUCCAUUUCUCAAAAUACCCUUCUCUCAGGAGAGCUGUGUAUCUGACAUCACAGGGACAAUCUUUGGAGAGGUCAAGACAACAUGGCGGUGAAGGGGCAUGACCACCCUCAUGAGCACACCUGGCUCCUUACAGUGGCAGCUGGAUCUUAGUGCCAUGUCUCCUCUAGUCCAACAAGCAAAGGAAAAGACUGUAAGUGGAGACCAAGAGACAUAAGCCAAAGGCUGCAAUCAGAUGAAAAAGAAGAUUUUGUCCAAGAGCCAUACAUCUCAACUGGUUUAAACAUAGCAGCCGCUCCCAGGAAAGUCACACUUGUAUUUGUGAUGGAGCAGCUGAGGGUCCUGCCUGUCCCACAAACACUGGCAGACCUCAGCCAGGGUGAAGGCCAGCCAGGUCCUCACAUCUAGACCUGGUGGCCCUAGUACCUCAGUUCAUGGGACACUAUUAUAUUUUUCCCCUUACCCAGCUGCAGGCUGUUCCUGCCAGCAGCCUCAAAGCUCCCGACCUGUUAUUAAAACAGCCUCAGAGAAAGUAAACAUGACCAAUUGAAAAACAAAAAAUAUCACCCAAAUGUCUAAGGAAACCAUGAGCUACAUCCAGCACAGAUUUUUCAAAAGGACAAGGAUUUUCAUGGCUCAGCAUUCUAAUUUGUUUGACCGUUUAUUUCCAAGGAACACAUCCAAGAGUGACAAGCUCCAUUUAUUUCAAUGGGCAGCAUAUGCCAGCAACGUGAAUGGCGUACGCUGUAAAAGAGAAUGGAUGUUCUCAAGCAUCCUGGAAAGCUGUCCUUUCAGCAGACAGAGGACAUGGAGGUAAUAGAAGUGCAGCUCUGCUCUGACAAGCAACACCAUAAAAGCAGCAUCCUGGCUUCUCAUGUUUGAUGUCUCCCCACAGCAGACCUGAGAGAUUUGCUCAAGCUGAAAGUGAAAAAUUAUUACCUAAUAUCUGGCCCAGUCCUGAAGAGAGCAGUUGGAUUCUUUCAUUGUUCUACUUUUCUGGGCCAUAAGGACAUCUCCUUGGGACAUAUGGCUACUUCAGGGUGUUAGUGCUUCACCCUUUUAGACUUUUAGAGGCUACCCACUAACCCAGACUAUCUUCACAAAUGACAUCACCUUCAAAGCAUUGUCUGAUGUGAAUAUGAGAUGUUCACGCAAGAAAGUGCCUUCUUUUCAUAAAAUACCAUCACGAGGCAGCACUGUUUUCUGUCUUGUCUCUUUGUACUACAUCCUGAAGACAAUCCUCUUCUGAAUCUUGCCUUUUCAAAGUCUGAUUCCACUGAAGCCUGAAAAACCAUGAGUUAAGAGUCUCUGUCACAAAUUCAGGAUCACCUAUGACUUGAUAUUGUUUAGUGGGCUGUGACACUUUACUGUAAGUCUCACAGGAGUGGGCAACUUUUAUUGGCUAUCAUGAAUGAAUUAACUAAUAAUAGUUCUGUGUUAGGACUUACCUAGGGAGCAGUCUAGUUCAUAAGGUUUUAUUGGCUUGUCAGCAACACCGGAAGUCAAAAUAGAAUGAUUCUUGACUUGCUUUUCAGUAAGAUGGCCCCAGCAAAGGCUGGGUGUGGCUUUGUUCAUACAGAGUCUUUCUCUGGACACCUUUCAUUCUCAUUAAACUUAAGAGGUUGCUGGAAGGAGCAGUGUGAGCUGCAGUGUUGUCCACAGGAAUCCACUUCCCCUUCUCCUGUACCUCCAGCCAGUCAACAUCUCAAGCCAGGUAAGGAAAAAGAGAUGUUCCUGACUCCCUUACAGCCCUCCAGCAUGGCAAAAUGAAAUCCCGAAUUCUCCUUCAGGAGAUUCAUGUCUACCUGUGCUGCAAGGCUCACUGUCCUGGAUUUAGUCUGCAGUAAGGCCACAGCUAUACAAUACCCCUGGAUGGCCAUUGUACAGGCUGGAGACCCUUGUUGUGAGACUGUUUUUCCUAUUCACUUUCUCUUCAGCAGGUGCAGCUUGUAGGUUGCAGUUCCACCUUUUUUGGAAAAGCCAAAUCAAUGCUGUUCAUGCCAUUGAGGGCAUCUUUGAAACCAUGUAAGAAUAUUAGCUUGUCUUGAUGGCAGUGAGAUGCUUGCUUAGUGAAGAGGCCAACCAUAGACUUGUGGCUGGCUCUGUGUGUAUUUGGGGAUAAAUCAUAAGGUAUCUUUGCAUCUAUGCAGCUUUCUUUGGGACCAUGCUGAUUGCCAACAUGAUGGUCUCCACUUGCUAUGAGCUAUUUCCAAGGGAAAAGACAAAAAAUGUUUGAGGGAAAGCUACAGUCAUCUUCCUUUGUCAAAGUGGAACUUUUCAUUUCCAUCAAAUGCACUUUUGUCUCUCAAUUUCUGAUUGUUUCAGGUGACUUCCAUACCCGGGUCAGUUGGCCCCAUGUAUGUUGAGCUCUCAAAAGCAGCCUCUUGCUCCAGGUGUGAGUGGUGAGAGUCAGGAGAGCUCUCUGCUGGGAGAAUUUGGCCCUGCUUCUAGGCUUUGGGGCUUUAUUAGGUCAAAGAAGAGCCAGGCUGUCAGUUCCAGCAUUUCUGACUGGCAUUUUAAAGCUAAAGAUAUGACUACACCCUGGGUCUUGCAGUUGAUGUGAGAAGAUUUGCAGCAUCUCAGCAGAGAGGUUUGGGAAGACACCCCAGGCCUGUCAUGCCCAGGGCAAACUGGGAUCCUCUAGAUUUAACACAUCUGGUAGUGGAGCAGUGGGGUAAUAGAAUCCCAGUAACCAGUGCUUUACGAGGUGUCAAAAAUGUCCAUCAUAACUGAACAGCCUUGUGAAGCAACUGUGUGGUCUUUUCCUGAAAAUUAAAACUAAAAAGCAAGCCAUAUGAUGACAGCAUCUGUAGCAGAGAGCAGGGUGGCUUGCAUGAAUUAGCAGCUUCCUGGCUGUUAUCUGUGGCAGCCUUAGCCAGCUACUUAUUCCAUCACCUGCAGCUUCUGUGGGCUGAGGCCUCAGACUUACACCUUGGGGAGCACUGCAAGCCAAAGCCCCAGCACUGAGCCACUGUCAAAAAAGAGCUGGAGAAGGUCUCCUCCACAGCUUUCUCACUGACAUCUGGGAUCGUGGCGUUUGAUGGAAUAGGAUCUUGGGUCUUGGAAUGUGGUGCACAGUGACCUUGAAUGGCUCAGAUCCUGAUCUCCAAAGAGCACCUGUGAAGGUUACCAGUAAGGUGGGCUGACUGGGGAUGUGCCACAGCCUCAGUGACUUGCAUCUGAAUCUUCCUGGCAUGUCCCAAUGCAGGCAAGAAUAGAUUAGCCAAGAAUCUGCAGAAGCUCUGCUGAGAUCAUGUUGGAUAUCCAUGGAACCAGUGCCAGUAUGUGGGGUCAGAGCAAGUGAUAGCCUCCUGCUGCCUUGGAGACUUGUUAUGGGUAGGGGAAGAGAGAUAAAUCCCCAAAUUUCCCUGGAAGAAGUGCUCAUUAGGAUCCACUUUCAGGCAUUUCUUUCCCAGGUGGGCCAGGUGUCAUGCAGGGGGGUUAUAUUCUGUGCAACAGUAUCCACCAUUAAAAAAAAAAAAUAGACAAAACCCAAAAUUACUCAGGUAUUACUCAACUCAUUCUUGUUAAGGUCCUGUAAAUCAUAUCAAGUGCAGAAUCUCUCCCCUUUCAGAGAUCUUCCAGCCUGUUGCAUAUGGAUGACCCUCAGGGAUCCCUGCAAGUGUCCUCCUACCACCUCUCCCCCUGUGCUUCCUGCUGAUGGGACCCAGAACAACCCACUGAGCUGCUGGUGAGCAGCAGAAUCAGUUCUGCUCUGUCUUACCCACCCCUCCUGCUGCCCCUUUUUGGGGGCUUCUGGCACAGAAAAGUCCCCACGGAAGAAGAUGAUUACACCCAGAAAGGUGGCCAUGGCACCCUUUUGAAGGGAUCUGCAGGAAGGGUAAUGGGGAUCAGAGCAGAGAAGGCACUGCCAUCUGGCAGGGGCUGGACAGGGUGACAGCAAAAGGAGUCACUUGGGUCACAGGCAUCCCCUGACUCAGGCACGAAGGGGCCUGGCUCCAUCCAGUCUCCUGAGAGCAGAAAAGCCACAGACUCAUGGCUGACUCCCUCGCCUCAUUGUCUGUGCACUGGAGCAGGGAGGGCAGGAGGCAGAGGGAGUGAGGGAGCCCUUUUGUCCCCCUGGCUCUGACAGGUCCGUGCCUGCCAUGCACUGGGAUUGGGGGUAGGUGGGAGACAGGGCAGGGGGACCGCCAAAAUAAACGAGCUAAGAAACCAGUCUGAUGAUUCUGCACAAGCUUGGUGUACAUGAUGCAAAUUGAUGUUUAAAGCUUAUUUAUUAGCUUACAUGCGAAAUGCCAGUGGUGUUUUUCUAGAUCAGUGGGUAUCCAAUAUUUGGGCGGGGGGAGACGACGGCAGUGGGAGCAAGCAUGGCUAGAGACUGUAUAUCCAGAGGCUAGGGUUUAUAUCAUGGGCUGCUCUCGACUGUUAUAAUUUGUGGCACAGAUUCAGCGAGAAUCUGAUCUGCUGAAAAUAUUUGGGCUGUGAAAACUCCCACACUGUGACAGAUGUCAAGUCCAAUUAAGUGACUCGUGUCCAGGUUUCUGUCCAAUAGGCUUUCCCAUUAAAUACCAAUUUAAGAGGGAAAAAAUGCCGCCCCCUUUUCUCCGAGCCUUUAUCUCUUCCGACCAUCUCUAGGCGAAACCCUUUGGUACCAGAAGUGGAGCCACACGCAUCUCUGCUCCGUCUGUCUGUCUCGCCCCUGCCACCUUCCGCACCCCUCCUUGCCUUCUUUGCCGCUCCGGGAGGGGUGGGAGGAGGAACUGCACUUUCUUUUUAUGCAUGUGAGCGUACCUUGUCCUGCACCGCCGUUAUCUCUCACAGCCGCUCCGAACCCGCGCCGAGAUUUUCGUUUAUUUCGUUUUGUUUUUCUUUUUCAGCGUUCGCAUAUUUUCCUUUAUUUUUCACUCGAAAGAUGCAGGAGGAGUUAGGAAGCUCAGGGACGGAUGGGGGUUUCGUUUAUCCUUUUUUUUCUCCCCUCGCCAGUUCUUGAAGGACCAGAAGAAGAACUAAACCAAACAUUCAUUUUCCGACGGCGUCUCCCCAGCUCCUGCCCCUCUCCGCCGGACCGGUGAAUUAACAAAACCUCACGUUACAACC
Zonotrichia albicollis (white-throated sparrow) is the source of this 7564-nucleotide non-coding RNA. NCBI's taxonomy places the organism in Eukaryota, Metazoa, Chordata, Aves, Passeriformes, Passerellidae. The record is from RefSeq and is a predicted model, not a curated record.